This is an RNA transcript of Juglans regia (Persian walnut), 1976 nucleotides long. It is a transcript of the gene named protein RETICULATA-RELATED 4, chloroplastic-like, with no coding region annotated. The transcript is spliced from 12 exons. The record is from RefSeq and is a predicted model, not a curated record. NCBI's taxonomy places the organism in Eukaryota, Viridiplantae, Streptophyta, Magnoliopsida, Fagales, Juglandaceae.
CCUAUCAUCGCGGCCAGAGACGGGUGACAGACAGAUAGAGCCAGAGUGCAACGCGAAGAAGCUGAGCUGAGCAGAGCAGAGCUGAGCAAUGGCAAUCGCCUUCUGCUUCAACCCUUCCUUCUCUCUUUCUCCACUCUCCGAACUCGAUCCCUACCGUCCACUCGCUUCCUCCUCGUUGUCGCCGCCUCCCUUCCUCUCCAGCUCCGCCUCAAUAUAUCACCUGCUCCCGCCCUUCGAAUUCUCACACCCUUGUACGUCCCUAAAGACGCCAUUUUGGUUGGCGGAAACGAUGGAGACGACGAAAAUAGCAACAACAACAAGUACGGGAACAACCGAGGAAACAGCAGCGGAGAAGGAGGGGGAAGAGCGGGGAACGCGGGGGACAAGAACAGGGAGGAGGCGAUGGUGGUGCUGGCGGAGGCGGGGUGACUCUUGGAGAGCAUGUCAAAUGAUCUGAGGGCGGCGGUCGAGGCCGGGAGUAUCCCGGGAUCGGUGAUCGACCGGUUCUUAGAGCUCGAGAAGUCGGGGCUGUUUUGCUGGUUGAUGCAAUUCGGCGGCUUCAAGGAGCGCCUUUUAGCCGACGACCCAUUCCACGCCGUGGUCGGAAUCGAGUACUGCGUCGGAAUGUUCACCAUGGUGAUCCUUGAGUAAUCAUCAAUGAAAGAUAUAAAGUACGAUGCACCUCCGCAUGAUUUAGUGCGAGACAAGCCCCAUAAAUCCGAGUGAAUGCAGUCAAGUAUGCCUUUACCCGUGUGACUCCCGGCCUUGAAGCUUUGCUUAUGAUGCUUCCCAUAGACACAAUACUCACAAAAUCCCUUGUCACUAAGCACAUCUUGGGAAUAAGUUCCCUUUUCAUCAAGAUCUCCAUACCUUAUUCACUGAUGUGACACAAUCUUCUAUAUCUUCUAUGCUAUAACGCACUGGAAAUUCAUCACGUUCUAUCACCAUUUGUGCACCAACAACCGUGCUUCCAAGCAAUUUAUACAAGUUUCCAACCCCUUUCAUGACAACCAAAAUACCUUUUCAGACUGUAAUAACUUCAGCUUGCCCAGUGUAUAUGUAGCCACGAGAAUCGAGCUCUGAAAUUAAAACCAUGGAUAUUUGGGAAAAAGAAUGAUGGAAGGGUUUUAGAUUCCGUGCUCGUUUCUUUUCCUGCCCCUACUGUUUCUCUCCGACCACCACUUGCAACUAGUGCUGGAACAAUUGCCAAGUUCUUCCAUAACUGCCCUGAUAAUGCAUUCCAGGUUGCUCUUGCCGGAACCUCAAAUUCUUUUCUACAGAGAUUAGGGGCUGUGGUGGUAUCGAGUCUUAGUUGGUGUUAUUGAACAGUAGAUUCUGAAUACUUUGCUACACCAUCGCAAACUUAUGCUGAGUGCCAUUUACUCUGCUGCUCAGACAGUUACCUGCUGGUUAAGCAAAGUUCCUUCUUGGCUUACUACUUUUGCACCAGCAGAUGCUCUCACCAUGAAAGAGGAAGCCUGGAAUGCAUUCCCAGAAUGCAAAUCAGGUUACCAGUCUAAAAUUUGUUGCUCGAGGUGAUUUUUUGUUAACUGUCUCAGCAGACAAGCGAACCUGAAUUGCAAAUAUUAAUCUGGGUGCAACCCAGAGGAAAUCAUUAGGUACUGGUUUAAGCUCUGAUGGCAUUUUAAGCUGCAAGUGAAGAUUUAAGCAUUAUUAUCAGAGAGCUAUAUUGGCAGAGUAUUCUGGUCCUGUUCUUGGAGUAUUGUCUGCAAUAUUAUAUGGAUGGAGAGGCCGUGUCUGGAAGAAGUUUUGCUAAGUGCAUUCGACAUGGAAAGAAGAAGAAGAUGGUUGAUAUCAGGAAUGUUAGUUCCAAGAAAAACAAGCACAUCAAGAAAAUUAAGGGGCUGGUUCCAUGCUUUCUUCUCCAAGUAAAAGACGAUGAGCUCUUCGUCUGUUGGGAGGAAUCUGUACCCGGGAGGUUUGUUAAAAAAUCCAGCUUGUUCCUUAGUCUUGUU